Non-coding RNA from Desmophyllum pertusum, 74 nucleotides. The record is from the annotation of a GenBank genome assembly. Lineage: Eukaryota; Metazoa; Cnidaria; Anthozoa; Scleractinia; Caryophylliidae.
GGCGCGGUGGCCUAAUGAUUUAGUGCGCUAGACUCCGGAUCGAGAGGUACUGGUUCGAGCCCUGGCCGGGGUCA